GACGAACGCUGGCGGCGUGCUUAACACAUGCAAGUCGAACGGAAAGGCCCUGCUUUUGUGGGGUGCUCGAGUGGCGAACGGGUGAGUAACACGUGAGUAACCUGCCCUUGACUUUGGGAUAACUUCAGGAAACUGGGGCUAAUACCGGAUAGGAGCUCCUGCUGCAUGGUGGGGGUUGGAAAGUUUCGGCGGUUGGGGAUGGACUCGCGGCUUAUCAGCUUGUUGGUGGGGUAGUGGCUUACCAAGGCUUUGACGGGUAGCCGGCCUGAGAGGGUGACCGGCCACAUUGGAACUGAGAUACGGCCCAGACUCCUACGGGAGGCAGCAGUGGGGAAUAUUGCACAAUGGGCGGAAGCCUGAUGCAGCAACGCCGCGGGCGGGAUGACGGCCUUCGGGUUGUAAACCGCUUUCGCCUGUGACGAAGCGUGAGUGACGGUAAUGGGUAAAGAAGCACCGGCUAACUACGUG
This 468-nucleotide ribosomal RNA is filed under the name uncultured bacterium. RNAcentral's name for it is "partial 16S ribosomal RNA". It matches the Rfam family "Bacterial small subunit ribosomal RNA", at positions 28 to 507 of the family's 1533-position model. The record is from RNAcentral.